RNAcentral lists this transfer RNA (82 nucleotides) under Chitinophagaceae bacterium. RNAcentral's name for it is "tRNA-Leu". It matches the Rfam family "tRNA". Rfam says of the family: Transfer RNA (tRNA) molecules are approximately 80 nucleotides in length. RNAcentral also lists the same sequence under 2 other names. The record is from RNAcentral. Lineage: Bacteria; Pseudomonadati; Bacteroidota; Chitinophagia; Chitinophagales; Chitinophagaceae.
ACCGGAAUGGUGGAACUGGUAGACACGCACGUUUCAGGGGCGUGUGCCGAAAGGUAUGCGGGUUCAAGUCCCGCUUCCGGUA